AUGGGGAUCGAGCUGACAUUCGUUCUAGCUGCCGAGGAGGAGGCUCGUGGCCAGCGGUGUUGGAGCGUUGCGGCCGAAGAGGGAGGAGAAGCUUGCUUUCCAUGGACGCAGCUGCUGGGGUGCCCGAUUUGUAGUCUCCCUCCUCGGCUCCGGCGUAUAGAACGGAUGGAUCAGGUACCCCUCUACUCUGCUGGACAGGGAGCACGGAUCCAGCGUGCCCUUUGUAUCCAGCACAUGCAGCACUCGUACGUGCAAUUCCUCAUUUGCUUGGUGUGUCUCGCCACUCUAGUUAGCAGCCAGUGUGCCGCUGUUGGUACUAAGUCAAGGCAAUCAAUGCAGAAUGGAGAUAUGUUACUCCGAAUAUAA
This 366-nucleotide ribosomal RNA is filed under the name Triticum aestivum (bread wheat). RNAcentral describes it as "partial small subunit ribosomal RNA". The record is from RNAcentral. Lineage: Eukaryota; Viridiplantae; Streptophyta; Magnoliopsida; Poales; Poaceae.